Molecule: ribosomal RNA, 1588 nt
Filed under: metagenome
Description: bacterial LSU rRNA
Rfam family: Bacterial large subunit ribosomal RNA
Source: RNAcentral
UGUAACGAUAAAACAGGUGAGAAUCCUGUUCGCCGAAAGCCUAAGGUUUCCUGGGGAAGGUAAAUCCGCCCAGGGUUAGUCGGGUCCUUAGUCGAGGCCGAAGGGCGUAGACGAUGGGCAGCAGGUUAAUAUUCCUGCACCAUGUUGCUGGACAAAGUCAGUGACGCAUCUUCAAGGGUCAUCCCACGGCUAGUAGGGUGGGUCCCGCAAGGGCGAGGCCGAUUUAUGAUGCCGAAGUGGCUGGAGAAGAUGCCGAGAAAUAGCUGGCGUAGGUUGAAAGCAGCAUGUCCGUACCGCAAACUGACACAGGUAGGCGAGGAGAGUAUCCUCAGGCGCUCGAGAGAACCGUCCUUAAGGAACUAGGCAAUUUUCCCCCGUACGUUCGCAAGAAGGGGUCCCUCCGCGUGUGCUUGAUUUAUCAGGUACAUGGCGAGGGCGCAGAGAAAUGGCUCUGGCGACUGUUUAUCAAAAACACAGUUCUGUGCUAACUCCGAAAGAGGAUGUAUACAGAAUGACGCCUGCUCGGUGCCGGAAGGUUAAGGGGAGGGGUUAGCCGCAAGGCGAAGCUCUAAACUGAAGCCCCGGUAAACGGCGGCCGUAACUAUGACGGUCCUAAGGUAGCGAAGUUCCUUGUCGGGUAAGUUCCGACGUGCAUGAACGGCGUAACGACUGGAGCAGUGUCUCAAGGACGGACUCGGUGAAAUUGUAGAUGUGGUGAAGAUACCACAAUCCCGCAGCAACACGGCAAGACCCCAUGAACCUUUACUGUAGCCUGGUAUUGAUGCCUGGCAUGGCAUGCGUAGGAUAGGUGGGAGGCUGUGAAGCUCCGGUUCCGGCCGGGGCAGAGCCAACGUUGAAAUACCACCCUUGUUAUGUUAGUCACCUAACCAUGACCCGUGAAUCCGGGCAUAGGACAGUGCUAGGUGGGCAGUUUGACUGGGGCGGUCUCCUCCCAAAGGGUAACGGAGGAGUUCAAAGGCACACUCAGCGUGGUUGGCAAUCACGUUUAGAGCGCAAGGGUACAAGUGUGCUUAACUGCGAGUCUGAAUGCGACGAGCAGAUGCGAAAGCAGGACCUAGUGAUCCGGCGGUUCCGUAUGGAAGGGCCGUCGCUCAACAGAUAAAAGGUACUCUGGGGAUAACAGGCUGAUGACUCCCGAGCGUUCAUAGCGGCGGAGUCGUUUGGCACAUCGAUGUCGGCUCAUCACAUCCUGGGGCUGAAGGCGGUCCCAAGGGUCGGGCUGUUCGCCCGUUAAAGUGGUACGCGAGCUGGGUUCAGACCGGCGUGAGCCAGGUCGGUCCCUAUGUGCUGUGGGCGUAGGAAUCUUGAGGGGCCAUUUCCUUAGUACGAGAGGAUUAGGAAGUACUGACCUCUGGUGCACCGGUUGUUCCGCUAGGGGCAUAGCCGGGUAGCUACGUCGGGAAAGGAUAACCGCUGAAAGCAUCUAAGCGGGAAGCCCACCCCAAGAUAAGGAUUCCGUGGUCUUCGGACCUGAAGUGCCCUGGUAGACCACCAGGUUGAUAGGCCGGAGGUGUAAGGCGAGAAAUCGCUUCAGCUGACCGGUACUAACGCACGACGACUUGACCAU